UCCCGCUAGAUCUCCUAAUGCCCCUUUCUGAUCCACGUAAAACAUGCCAUCUUUUACUCUGUUUAGUUACUUACGCUUUAAAAAUAAUGCAUGUUUCAGUCUCUCCCCAGACCUCGUAUGCAUGAAAAGAAAAAUCAAAUCAGCUCCACCUCUGCGGCGUACGGAAAAACGGAACCCAAACGGGCAUCUGACACUUGCAUUGUUGAUCAGAUAUCACUGACAAUCAAAGCUCUGUGCAUUUUCUAACCCACUUAUAUCAAGGUCAAUGUACUUACAUUAACUCAUCAUCUACUCAUCUGUUUCAAUUAAUGGUACAGUAGAACCUCUGCCUAGACUCAGCCAUGUCCAAUUUACAUCUGACCAUGAGACGGUGAAGAACCCUUUCUCUGUGUUUGCUGAUGGGCAGCCAAUAUAUAUCCUUGGGGAAAACCUUCUUUUGCCUCCAUAACAUCCUGAAUUGUUCAAGAAAUCGAGACUCAUCAGACCAGGCAACAUUUUUCCAGUCUUCAACUGUCCAAUUUUGAACGGGAACCAGUCCUAAAUGGAACACCAGGCCAUUGAAAGAUACAGAGAGACUAUUACAGAUGCCAAUUACUGCAACAUAAUGUCAAAAUAUUUAAGAUGCAAGAGAAAACUGGCGUACUGGGAGAAAAAUGAUGGAGAUCCUGAAAAUGUGUGAACUUCACACAGGCAAAAAUCAGACUGGGAAUCUAAUCGAGGUCCAUUAAGUCACCAUAGCAAUCCAUAGUUGUGUUUAUUUGAAAAAAAGUAUGACUCUUGAGGGAAUACUCCAUCCAAAAAUGGUAUUUUUUUAAUAUAUUACUUACUCCAUGUAGCUUAUAGCAAUGCCCAAGAAAAAAAUUAUAAUCUCAUGUUUUCAUGCAAAAAGUUUAUUGACAGGGUUUCUUAAGCUAUUUUUGUUGCGACCCAAUUUUGUCCUUUUCAUUGUUUUAGAGACACAUUCCUUGUUGAAUGGGAUGGAGGGAUUGAAGACCAAAUUGGAGCAAUGUCGAUUGCUUAACCCAAUUUGAAAACUGUCUGUGACCCAUCAUAAUUAAAUCCAACAGUAAUUCGCAACCCUACUCCGGCAACAUGCAACCCCAAAUCCUGGUUUAUGAUAUAACAGGACAGCAAUGGUGACCAACAACAAAUGACAUGAACAACAUCCAAAAGCACAGUAUUAUGGGAAUGAAUUUCCUGUUUAUAAUGUCUGCUGAGUUUUCUGUUACCGAUGCAAUUCAAAAUAUGAUGUCAUUGCCACCCAGACCUGAAAUGCUGUAGGCAGCUUGCACCUUCUUUGAUGGCACUGACUAUUUCAUCCAACUGUAUCAGUGUUGUAUGGGCCCUUAAAUAGGAAAUACUCCUCAGCUGCCUUCUGAGUAUUAACUGGAGUUGGUGCCUCUUACACAGGACUUACAUGGCUACAGUUGUAAAGUUUCAGAAGCAGUAAAGUCGAAUCACUUUAUGCAUACUCUAAGAAAGAUCAUAUUAUUAUAAAGAAAUAUAAAGAUAAUAGUGCUGCAAGUAAAAAUGUAUAUGAUGUGGAGUCAUUCAAUUUCCUUUCACUAAGAGAUAUUUGAAAUAAACUGAGGCUUAGGGCCUUGUGGAGGACUGAGAGAAAAUGAGUCUUGCUUGGUUGCACAUAAAUAGUUUUUGAAUUGCUAACUUGUUUCUGGAUACUGCUUACAUUUUCUUUCUGUGUGUAGUAAUAGCAGUAGCAACAUCAUAAGUAAAGUAGUUACUGCUGCUGCAUCAUACCUUGAAUAGGCCCUGUUAAUGGUCUACUCUGGUUUUUUUUCUUUCAGAUCCUCCAGACAUAUGUGACUUGAGAUGAUAAAUUCCAAGUAAGUGAGUGUACAAUGUGGGUUGACUUAGCCUUCCGGGGUUAGUUUCUGUCUUGCACCUAAUGCUUCUAGGACAGCCUCCAGGCCCCUGCGACCUUAUAAUUGGAUUAAGAAGCUUUUGAUGAUGGCUGUUUACAUAAUUUAAUUACAUUAUGGAAUAUACUAGGAGAAUGACAAGCCAGCAACUCACUAAGAGAUGUUUGACAGGUGCUAAAUUGAGGCUUGGGAACAUUGUGGAGGACAGAGAAUCUGAAAGUACAUGAGUGGAGAAAAAAAGUGAGCAUUAUGUGGUUGAUCAGAAACAGUCUGUAUUACUUAUGUUUUGGAUACUAUUUAGCCUUUCUUUCUAUGCAUCUGUGUAAGAGAGAACAUUAGUCUUUCAUUGUUUUUCACUGAAUUAUAAUGUUUUUCAUUAAUGUACUCAUUGAAAGAAUCAUAAGAACACAUAUUGUAUUACUACAAACAGUGUGUACUGUCUGAAGAGGUACAGUUAUUUAAAUGAAGACAACCAGGAGAUACACAGUCAGAGAACAACCUAAGGUCAAAACUGAGAGAUAAACCAAUCUUUCAUCUGAGCCAAAACACUAACCAAAAACAAAACUGACAUAAAGAGAAAAAAAAGUUUUGUUAAUCAGAAUUUCAAAAUCAAAAAAGGUCUUUUGGAAACUUACAAAGAUUAGGUAUCUGCAAACUGACCUUUACACUAUAACUUCUAUGACAUCAGAAGCAUUGUGUCACCUGAGAAAUUCUGAGAGAUGCUACCAGGAUGACACAAAAUGUCAAUGCCCUUGAGAAAACAAAGAUGGUGAUGCAUGAUUAUAAAGUGUCAACUUUGUUAAUGAAAAAAUGAAUGUAAAAAUCAAUAUUAAAAAAAUCCAAAAACACCAGAAUAGACGUACAGAUCAUAAUAUUUCAUGCAGAAUACUUACAAAUACAUAUUGUAUAUAUCAUUUAUAAUUGUAUAUAUACUGUAUAUGCGUUGCAUGAGAUGUAUACUUUUUUAUAAGAUGUAUACUUAUUUAUUUAUUUUUUUAUUGUUUUUAAUUUCAUUGUACUAUGGACUUAUGCAGACAGUGCCCAUAGAAGAGUGCAAGGCAGGAACCAACUUUCAACAGAGCAUUAGUCCAUAUACUGACUGACACUGUUUUGAUUAAUUAUUUAAUUACUUCUAUUUAGUUUUAUUAAAAACCUAAUUUAUUUUAAACACGUGUACAGACACAUGUAUAGUCUGAUAUUUCUCUGUUAAUAUCAUGUGAAUUUCUCCUUGGGAUUAAUAAAGUAUCUAUCUAUCUAUCUAUCUAUCUAUCUAUCUAUCUA
Long non-coding RNA from Polypterus senegalus (gray bichir), 3161 nucleotides. RefSeq lists it as uncharacterized. NCBI's taxonomy places the organism in Eukaryota, Metazoa, Chordata, Cladistia, Polypteriformes, Polypteridae. The transcript has 6 exons. The record is from RefSeq and is a predicted model, not a curated record.